This is a long non-coding RNA of Austrofundulus limnaeus, 1327 nucleotides long. RefSeq lists it as uncharacterized. NCBI's taxonomy places the organism in Eukaryota, Metazoa, Chordata, Actinopteri, Cyprinodontiformes, Rivulidae. The transcript has 2 exons. The record is from RefSeq and is a predicted model, not a curated record.
UUUCAGUCUAAAAAAGAAGAAAAUAUAAACAGUUUAAACUGUUUUAAAUGUUUGUUUUUAGCUUUUAAAUCCUUAAAUGUGAGCAGCGUGGACGAUUGGUGGGCGGAGCCUGAUCAGAAAUGUGUUUUUUUUCUAAAUACAGAUAAAGUUUGAAGUUACAGGUUCUGGCCCGGGUCGAGGCGCUGAUCAACGAGCUGAUCCGUGAAGAGUUUGAGGAAACACCAGCUGCUGGAUCCAGAACAGUCCAGAACCGGGUCCAGGUCCAAGGAGAUUAAAUAAAUCCAGAGUUUAAUCUCUGUUUCUCCUUUUUUAAAACUUUUUAUUUAGGUUUUAAUUCGCCCCCGUCGAUCCCGCCUCCGAAGCACAACAAAUCUUCCAGUGCCUGUUGCCAUGAUGACCGAAACGAGCCUCUUUCACAAAACAUUUCUGCGACCCGAGGACGAGCCGGCCCCUCGGCUGCCUCUGGUCCCGCCCCCCCCGGCGGUGCUGUUACCACCUCAGACACGUGACAGCAGCGGGUUAACCUGAAGCCCCGCCCCCUCCCCWUCCCAGUGUUUGGUGAAAGAGGCUGAACUCCUGCCGAGCUACAAUCACAUCCCAAAGUUGUACAGAGCUGAGGUUUUCUACAGGACCUGCCCUCAGAUCCAGAAUGUAAAUGUGUCAGAUUAUAAUCCUGUAGAUUAUCAUAGAUUAGUGUAGCUGUGGUGUUUUAUAGCAKUUAGACACAUUAAGCUCUUGUUCCAUCAGCUGAUGGUGGAAAUCACUUCGUUUAUAAAUUAUCACUAAUUAAAGGGCUGGUUCAAAAGUUUAAAUCCUCCAGUUUUACCAAUUUUUAAUCUGGAUUAACGCCUGAAGGUCUUUAUUACAACRACACAGCCAUAAACCAACCUUUAUUAAAUACAUUAAGCUUCUUGUUACGACUUUAUAAUAUUUUAUAUCUUUAUAAUAUUAUAUUAAAUUAUCUGAAUCUAUCUGAAAAACAUGGCUUCUAAUCUGAGACCUGCCAGCCAAUCAGAAACCAGAUCAGGUCUCAGCGGAGACACACCUGGGUCGUGUUCCUCCAUGGAGAAAAAUAGUUCCUGAUGUGCGUCUAARUCUGAACACAAACCAAACAUUAAGUGCAAAAAACAUGUUCGCUUGCUAGUUUGUUAGCUCACUAGGUUGUUAACUCGUUAGCUUAUCUUGCUACCUUCUUAGCUAGCUAGAUUGUUAGCUUGAUAGCUUGUUAGYUUGCUAGCUCGUUAGCUCGGUAAACGAAGAAGAGCAACAGUAGGUGGCGCCACUUCUCCACUCUGCACCGUUGAUUUAUUAGAAAAUUUAAACGACA